AACACUUCUUCCCAUUCCGAACAGAGCGGUUAAGCCCCUCAGCGCCGAUGGUACUUGGAUUUAAUCCCGGGAGAGUAGGUCACUGCCAAUU
This 91-nucleotide ribosomal RNA is filed under the name Saprospirales bacterium. Lineage: Bacteria; Pseudomonadati; Bacteroidota; Saprospiria; Saprospirales. The record is from RNAcentral.